RNAcentral lists this ribosomal RNA (462 nucleotides) under Morganella morganii. RNAcentral's name for it is "bacterial SSU rRNA". It matches the Rfam family "Bacterial small subunit ribosomal RNA", at positions 238 to 692 of the family's 1533-position model. The record is from RNAcentral. Lineage: Bacteria; Pseudomonadati; Pseudomonadota; Gammaproteobacteria; Enterobacterales; Morganellaceae.
GGAUUAGCUAGUAGGUGAGGUAACGGCUUACCUAGGCGACGAUCCCUAGCUGGUCUGAGAGGAUGAUCAGCCACACUGGGACUGAGACACGGCCCAGACUCCUACGGGAGGCAGCAGUGGGGAAUAUUGCACAAUGGGCGCAAGCCUGAUGCAGCCAUGCCGCGUGUAUGAAGAAGGCCUUCGGGUUGUAAAGUACUUUCAGUCGGGAGGAAGGUGUCAAGGUUAAUAACCUUGGCAAUUGACGUUACCGACAGCAGAAGCACCGGCUCACUCCGUGCCAGCCGCCGCGGUAAUACGUAGGUGGCGAGCGUUAUCCGGAUUUACUGGGCGUAAAGGGAGCGUAGGCGGAUGAUUAAGUGGGAUGUGAAAUACCCGGGCUCAACUUGGGUGCUGCAUUCCAAACUGGUUAUCUAGAGUGCAGGAGAGGAGAGUGGAAUUCCUAGUGUAGCGGUGAAAUGCGUA